AAAAAAAAAAAAAAAGAGAGAAGAGAUGGGAAAAGGAGAGAUAAGAGAUGGCCGAUGGAAAAAAUGUAGUUAAAAGGUAAAUAAAUAAAAUAAUUUAUCUAAAGUGCCUUCUCCAUUUAAAGUACCUAAUUAGGAACUAACUUUCAAAAAAGUGUCUAAUCACGUAAUAUUCCCUUUUUUAUAUCCCUUACACACCUCUCUCUCUUUCUCAUCAAACAAAAACGUUUUUUUAACUACUUUAC
Molecule: small RNA, 242 nt
Filed under: Arabidopsis thaliana (thale cress)
Lineage: Eukaryota; Viridiplantae; Streptophyta; Magnoliopsida; Brassicales; Brassicaceae
Description: ATSL171150
Source: RNAcentral